GAUAGCUAUGUGCGUACUGCAGUACAGAACAGAACUAGGGGGAAGAGAAGGGGACGUGGACUGAGGGCCAGGCUGUCUCUCCCUGUGCAUUCUGGCACAGAACUCCAAGAAGUCUGAGAAUUCUACAUGUAAAUCUGGCUUCACAGGCUAUUAUGAAGUGCUUUUCCACAUAAUGGUCAAAACCUAGGCCUCUCACCCUUCUUGGGGACCUUGAACACUGGAGGGUCAUUGCCAGAUCUAACCAACCUCCACUACUCGACACCCCUGCCAGCCUCCCUGGACACCACCGACCACCACUUUGGCAGUAUGAGUGUGGGGAAUAGUGUGAACAACAUCCCAGCUGCUAUGACCCACCUGGGUAUAAGAAGCUCCUCUGGUCUCCAGAGUUCUCGGAGUAACCCCUCCAUCCAAGCCACGCUCAAUAAGACUGUGCUUUCCUCUUCCUUAAAUAACCACCCACAGACGUCUGUUCCCAACGCAUCUGCUCUUCACCCUUCGCUCCGUCUGUUUUCCCUUAGCAACCCAUCUCUUUCCACCACAAACCUGAGCGGCCCGU
This 556-nucleotide small RNA is filed under the name Pan troglodytes (chimpanzee). RNAcentral describes it as "processed transcript". The record is from RNAcentral. Lineage: Eukaryota; Metazoa; Chordata; Mammalia; Primates; Hominidae.